AGAUGUGGGGGAACUCCCUUACUACUCCUUAGCCUGAAGCCAUGCAUACACACACACACACACACACACAUACACACGCAUAUAUAUACUGUAACACACGCUCAAGAGGAGGAGAAGCAAAACAAUCAUUUGGAGUAAAUCCUGAGAUGGCUGGGAUGGUUGUGGUGGAUUUUGCACAGAAAGGCCAAAAUUGGAGAAAACCAAAUAAGAUAUUGAAGUGGAGGUUGGUAAACACCAGGCUGUACGGAAGAGCUGCUUCCCUGUUCCAUUUGACCUCUGAGACAAUUGGCUCGGAGCAAUGCGAGCAGCAGGCCCGCUCUCGGGGAGACCAGAGGCCACUGUGACCGACGUCUUUGCCCCCUUCACGACAGAAUAACAGAGAGGCUGCAACUUUCCUUCUGAGCGAGGAAACUUUCCCCUUGGUGAUACGGACUUGGUGAAAGAUAUACCUGUGUAAAAUUCAUGAAUUCAUAACUUUUGAGGGUAUAUUUCACUACUGAUCUAUUGGGCCGUGAUAAGAAUUCAAAGGUGAAUGGAGCUGGAGGACAUCUUCAAAGCGGUCGAGGACAUCACAGGAAAGCCAAUGAGGCGCGUUGCCCUCCUCCAACAUCCUCGGAAUACAUUCCAUGUACCUCUCCGCAAUGUGAUACACUGUCAGAUAAAAUCGGAUGCCAUUGCAGUCCGCUGCCAUUAACUUGAUUUACUCUAGGGUUUCAGUCAAACUCUGACAAAAAAGUGGUUGCGUCGGCAAGUUUCAUCAGAAUUUGUUAAACCAUGCAAAGACACGUGAAGAAAAAGGGCACUGAUAGCCGCACUCACACUGAAGGACACUUUUAAUCAAAGAAAGGGUGCAUCUAGUUGAGUUCCGACUGUAGAUAUACAUUGAAGCUACAUUGUCUACAUGUUCUGUUGUACAUGGGCUCAGCAGCUUCCCCUCUCCCCAGCUUGAUUAUCAAAGCUAACAGGCUUUAGCAUGUGUCAGUCGAGGCGGAUAACCCCUGGUAGAUACAAGAGAGCAGGAGACAAUCAAAGGCAGCCGGAGUUGACAGUGGUCAGCUUCUGGAGGUGAUAAAGGCCUUUGAACCUGAAAGCUGCUCGAGGCCCCCCUUUGUGUCGUCUCCCCGCCCCCCGAGCCUGGCCAUAGAGGGGUCUACUUUGAUUUAGGCCCCUAGAGAGCCAAGACAGCUCUCUUCAUCUCUGCUGGAGAGAGAGAGAGAGGCAAAGAGAGAGCAAGAGAAAGAGUGAAAUAGCCCAGAUCUAUAAGAUAUUGGUCCAUCAGUGGUGGCCACUCAACUGCAGGCCGGGUCAUCAUGUUUGACCUCAAACGCUUGACUUGGAAUGCAGGAAAAAAACAGAUAAGUGCAUCUGUGAAAGCCUGCAGUGUCUAAUGACGGCAGCAGUACGGGUGGCAAAUCCAUGUCUUUCUCUUAAAACAUAGAGAAUAUGCAUGUUUCCCUAAUAGCUCAUGUACCGGCUAAACUGCAGGUCAAAAUACUUUGUAAGCUGAAGCCGCUUCAUAAUAACUCCUGUUUUCAAACUGGCCAAAUUCAUAGUUCAUACUGUCAUUCAGGGCCGGUCAUCUACACCUCAUUUCAUUUUAUGGCUCAGACCUUCAGAUACACUCAACACCACAACAGGGAAAAUAUGUUUCAUGAUUGGAAAAGUCUCUUCCGCGAGGAGAGACUCCCCGAGAGACGUGCAGAGUAAGGUUAUGGAACAAAAGCCCUCCCUGCUCGAAUGUUAUUGUGGUUCAUGUCAUGUCUGCCUGGCAAGCACACUGUCUACCUUGGCAGUGAUGGAAGAUGAACCCUGUUCAUUAUUCUGAACAAAAAUUAGUUGGACACAUAUUAAAUGUGGAUCUAUAAAGAGUAGGAUGUUUCCCUGAAAAUGGGACGUUUGGAUUGCGCCUGUUGCCUCGGCUUCAAACGAGUUAACAUAUUUUAAAAAUGUGACAUUGCUGCCUUUAUUUGAAGUCUACACUCAAAAUAAAAUGUAACAGCGAGCGAGUAUUUUACGGUGAGGUGGGAAAGGUGAAAGGUCGCGGGGGCGGCCAGGUGAGCCCUGCCUGCAGAGCAGCUAUCAGACAUCGGGCAGAGGGAUGAGCGCCACAGCUCAGUGUGCUCAAUCCACCAUGCACACAAAUCAGUCUGUCCACCCGUUGCAAGCGUGCAUGCAUGCAUGGAAACACAAAUACAUUCUCUACAUAUAACAGAACAUCUAUAAUUGCAUCUCUACCUGAGAGCGGCGAAAAAAUAACUUGAGGCCUGAGCUAGCUGAUACUGCUGCGAAGUCAGAGGAUAUUUAAGCAAAUUGAGUUACGUAUGGUUGAGCACGUUUGUCUUUCAAUCCAGCUCUGUUUUCUGAAGCACCGGGCUCACUGUUCAUUUUAAACUCCUUUGAGAGGCAUAACCCCGGAGCUUGUAUUGAAAGAAUGUGCUGAUUGCUUCUCUCUUUCUUGCAGCUCAGGGAUGCUAAAACGUCUUACCUGCUAAACUAAAUAAAAAGCAAGCAAGAAGCUGUAAAAUUGAUUAAUCCAGUUAAUGACACUCAAUAUGUUGUUUCUUAUACUUCUGACCACUUGGGGAUAAUGUCUUGCCCUUUAUUGGUAAUUACCUGCGAUCCUUUUCCUUGAACAUUACAGCCAUGAAAAUGAUAUCUUUGUAUUUAUUAUCUGUCUCUUCAUCGUUGACAAUCAACACAGGGGGGAGGAAUGUGUGCAGAAUUGUGUGUUGUGCUUGAUGAGGCAAAGCAGAGAGAACAUUAAUUAUUCAAUACUCAAAUCACAAAAAUAAAGAUGGCAAAACCAAAUUGUUUUGAAAAUUUCCUGAGGAAAGAAAAUGUUGGCAAGCCUCCCAAAAUGCUGUUUUAAAAAAUGCUCUUUGAAGGUAAUGAGGCAUGCUCGUGGCACACAGAAGCAGGGAGUGGUGCCAUGGCAAAGCAGCAUGUUUUCAAUAGGGUUUCUUUUUUGCUUACAUAUCACUUUAGUAAGGCACGUGUACUACAUUUCUAAUGAAGUGUAGGAUCGCGCCCUACCCCCACUAAGGGCAUACUUGUCUUUUAAAGAAAAAGAUCUGGGGAAAAAGGGCAGAGGGAAAGAGGAAACUUUGCACCUUUGGUCCUAAACUUCAACAGAACAAUGCCUGCGACAUCAAAUUUUAUGUGAUAGUAAUAACAACACCCUAACUGAUCGAAAUUCACAUUUUUCUACCAGAACAAAAUGUGAUAUCACUCUUUGCUCUAUUAAAAGGUACAAGACUCUAUCCACUGUAAUGAGCAAGGGUGUUAUAUUAAACUCACUGUUAUACUGGCCAUUUUUAUGGGUGAUGAGAUAUGAGAGAAUCUCCUCUCUUGUAGUUAAUAAUACAUGUGAGGUAAGGAGGAAAAUAAUAUUUUUAUUGUAUCUCCAAAUGUAAUGAAGAGGAAUGUGAAAAUGCAAUGGUUAUUAGCCAGGUUUUUUGUGGUAAAAAAUUAUAUAGGGAUCAUGAAUAAUUUCUGUGAACAACCACAAAAAAGGAGUUUGAAACUUCAGGGAUUAUUUAUUUACGGAGUGUCAAUAUACAGUAAAUUACCAUCAGAGUUAGCUAGAAGCUACACAGUAAAUCUGAAACUGAAGGAUUAAAUAGCACAUAGUGAGGUUUCAAAAAUCUAAGAAUUAUGUUUAUACACCAUUUAAAAUUCUCUCAUAAAAUGGUUUAAUAAGGAACCUCGGGUUCUGUCUUCCUAUUCAAAGAACCUUGUACCACAAAAAAAGUUCAAUAUUAAAUUCGUACAGAAAAUAGACCCUUUUAUGAUUAUGUUGUUCUUUGACUUUGCCAGCUAUGAAGAGGAGAGCUACAGCACUCUGUGGUAAACCAAUUACAGCCAACCUAGGUUGCUAGCACUCUUUUUCAUUUAGACGUUUCUCUUGCACUUAAACCAUCUCUGUUUCUUUAGCAUGACAAUUUCAACAUAAAAUACAUGCAUGAAUCAAAUUACGCUCUACCGUGUCAGAUGUAAAUUCAGGCUAACUGUUGGCUAGCCAAUUAACCUUCUAACAUUAACCAUCAACUAAAAAUGUUAAGCUUCCUGUAAUAUUAACUUGGUGCUGUAUGGUAAGUAAAAGUAUAAAUGGUUCCACAAGUACGCCCUCUGUCACAAAAUAUAUUUUAAUUCAAGAUAGUAGCUGGACUAAUGUGAAUGCUAGCUAACAUUAGCCAUACCAGGGCUGCCAACUUUUCAAUUUAGUUUGGAGUAAGAUUUGGUAUCUGUGAAGUCGGUGCAUUUUACAUGUAGGCGUUAUGUGACAUUACCCAUCGCAGGGGUAGGGGUCGCUCCUCAACCCUCAGGAAUUUUAUUUAGAAAGUUCAGUAGCCAAAUUCAUCAUUUUAAAGCAUUUAUAGAUGAAAAGGCAUGUCAAUAAUCAUGGUCAAUGAUGAAUAAGUAUGGUUGAUUUGCAUUGUUCCCAUAUAUUUUGUUAACGGAUGCUAUUGGUGAUUUGAUUUUUAAAUUUGUAAUCACCUCAAGGACGAAACAUUGGUUUUCAAAGUCAAAGGGGGCCAAAAUAAAGGUGUGGGAGUCUGGGAGUCCUCCCCAUUUAAAAAAGAAAAAGGUUUGAAUACCAUUUGCUGCUUUUCUACAUGCUUUUAUCAUAUUCUCAGCUACUUAAAAACAACACAUUAUGAUUAAGAUGGCUAUCAUGCUUAGUUUAAUCAUUUUGCUAGAAUAGUGGUAAAUAUACAUCAGAAAAAGCUGGCUUUCUCUUAACCAUACUGAACAUCACAUACUGUGGUAUUCAAUUAGGGAUAUACACUAUACUUUGAAGAAUAGGAUAAGAGAUCAAUUCAUCAAUCCUGCUGUUGUUGGCAACACUUGAUUUUUUUAUUUUUCUAUCGCAAAACUCUACCAAUAACGUUACCACUCUAGUCACAAACUGUGACUCACAGCGUGAGAGUGGGUCCACUUGAUUACUAUCCUGGCGUACGCUGGUGUCGCAUCAGCUGGGCAGAGUUGAUUCGCGCCACAAUGUUAUAAGUUACAGAUUUGUUUUUCACUGCGUGAGAAAAUGGGCAUGUGGCGUGAAAGCAUGUGAAAAGUGUCAGUUGCAUGAGUCUCACGGUCAAUGCAUGAGAGUUGGCUGCCUUGGCCAUACCAGUAAGCUCGCCAGGCUGGAUGCUAUGUGGGUUAUCCCCCAUUUUACUGACAUUACAUGUGUAAUGGUUACUCAGAGUUGCUUAAAUGAGGUGUAUUCUAACACUGCUUAAAAAAUUAAUAA
Long non-coding RNA from Siniperca chuatsi (mandarin fish), 5251 nucleotides. RefSeq lists it as uncharacterized. NCBI's taxonomy places the organism in Eukaryota, Metazoa, Chordata, Actinopteri, Centrarchiformes, Sinipercidae. The record is from RefSeq and is a predicted model, not a curated record. The transcript is spliced from 3 exons.